GGCCGACUAGCUCAGUUGGUUAGAGCGUCGUGCUAAUAUCCUAGUACAUUAGGUGUGUUAACGCGAAGGUCUUGGGUUCGAUCCCCACGUUGGCCA
Molecule: non-coding RNA, 96 nt
Organism: Armillaria mellea
Lineage: Eukaryota; Fungi; Basidiomycota; Agaricomycetes; Agaricales; Physalacriaceae
Source: the annotation of a GenBank genome assembly